RNAcentral lists this ribosomal RNA (371 nucleotides) under uncultured bacterium. RNAcentral describes it as "bacterial SSU rRNA". It matches the Rfam family "Bacterial small subunit ribosomal RNA", at positions 524 to 898 of the family's 1533-position model. The record is from RNAcentral.
UACGGAGGAUGCAAGCGUUAUCCGGAUUUAUUAGGUUUAAAGGGUGCGUAGGCGGAAACUUAAGUCAGUGGUAAAAGGCAAUAGCUUAACUACUGUAAGCCAUUGAUACUGGGUUUCUUGAGUACGGUAGAGGUAGGCGGAAUGUGUUGUGUAGCGGUGAAAUGCAUAGAUAUAACACAGAACACCAAUUGCGAAGGCAGCUUACUAUUCCGAUACUGACGCUGAUGCACGAAAGCGUGGGGAUCAAACAGGAUUAGAUACCCUGGUAGUCCACGCUGUAAACGAUGAUCACUCGUUGUUGGCGAUACACAGUCAGCGACUGAGCGAAAGCAUUAAGUGAUCCACCUGGGGAGUACGUUCGCAAGAAUGAA